ACAGGCGUGAGCCACUGUGCCUGGCAGCACCUUUUCUUUAUGGACGUAGAUUUUGGUAUUUCCUUUACCAAAGGGAAGAUAGGUGGGACUUUUGGUUAUAUGCUUUGCUUUAGGCUUGAAGAAUAGUUGCUCUAAAGAUUUUAUUUUGUGAAAGACCCAAGGUUGAAAUGAGUUGGAUUCAUUGGAAUCCAUUACUUUUCCAGGGAAUACGAUUUUAAAUGAAAAGCUGAGCAUCCUCUCUUUCAAUAUCUGCCCUCACAGUGUGCCUGAGUUGCAUUUACACUUAGAGUGACAAAUGAGACCCGGGUGUGUGUGUGGUUGGAAGGCUGUGCUCACGCAGUGUGAGAUCAGCCCCUGGGUGGUGAGUGCUCACUGGACUGGCAUGCACGAGCUUGUAGUGGCAGAGACAAGUGAAAGCAUGUCAUUUCUGCACGGAUCCCAGUGGUGGCGGAUAGGUGUUUGGCGUUAGAACAGGCAAAAACACCUGUUUUCCAAUCUGUAAUGAAAGAACUGUGUAAUAACGUGCAGUUUGUACAAUUACCAGUGUCUCUACCAUAGUGAUCAGAUUACAUUUGUUGCCACACAUCUUGAUCAGGGAAGUGGAGUAUGAAUAAGCCAGAGAGGAAAUAUUUAGCAGUGACCACUGUCAAGCUGGAAAGACCUAUAGAGCUUCCAUUCUGUCCCUUUGCUUCAGGAUGGGGAAGGGAGGCCACUCCACCGAUGUGUGGUGCUGUGAGGACCUUUCUGAAAUUGGGCAAAGAGCUCAGCACUUUGAGUCCAUGAGAAAUAAAACUGACCAGACGUUAAGUAGCAGGUGAGGACCAUAGUGAAAGAUCCUGCAGACUCUCCCAUGGAUUUCUGCAGAUGGGUGAGUUGUGCCUUCAAGGCACCACGUCUUACAGAGAUCCUCUGAGAAAGGCGGAGCAGCAUAUGCCUAGGAUGAUGCAGAAAUUGACAUGUGCCUUCCUGAUAAGUGUUCUGAAAUAAAGCACUAAAUAGCAGUAGACCAGAUUGGCAGACUCAAUCAGAUGGGCUUAGAGAUAACAAUUCCAGAAUAGUAUCCGCAAGGGACAGGGCACCAGGUGAACUGGCCGCGUAAUCCAUGUGUCUGGUUGUUCAUUGAAUUUAAGAAACACAGUGGAGGCUGGGUGCAGUGGCUCACACCUAUAAUCCCAGCACUUUGGGAGGCCAAGGUGGGUGGAUCACCUGAGGUCAGGAGUUCAAGACCAGCCUGGCCAAUGUGGCAAAACCCCGUCGCUACUAAAAACAGAAAUUAGCUGGGUUUGGUGGCACGUGCCUGCACUUCCAGCUACUCGGGAGGCUGAGGCAGGAGAAUUGCUUGAACCUGGGAGGUGGAGGUUGCAGUGAGCUGAGAUCACGCCACUGCACUCCAGCCUGGCGACAGAGUGAGACUCCGACUCAAAAAAAAAAAAAGAGAAACAGUGGAAUCUCGUAAUAAAAGCCAUCACUGCUACAGCUGUGGAAAAUGGGAAUACUCGGUCAUGUUUUCUGGACAGUUUUUGAUGGUCUCCGUCUUCCCUGGAAUUGACAGGCCUCGUGCAUUGUGCGUCAGCAGCAAUGUUUAUGGUGAAAAAUGGCAACGGGACCGCGUGCAUAAUGGCCAACUUCUCUGCUGCCUUCUCAGUGAACUAUGACACCAAGAGUGGCCCUAAGAACAUGACCUUUGACCUUCCAUCAGAUGCCACAGUAGUGCUCAACAGCAGCUCCUGUGGAAAAGAGAACACUUCCAACCCCAGUCUCGUGAUUGCUUUUGGAAGAGGACAUACACUCACUCUCAAUUUCACGAGAAAUGCAACACGUUACAGCGUCCAGCUCAUGAGUUUUGUUUAUAACUUGUCAGACACACACCUUUUCCCCAAUGCAAGCUCCAAAGAAAUCAAGACUGUGGAAUCUAUAACUGACAUCAGGGCAGAUAUAGAUAAAAAAUACAGAUGUGUUAGUGGCACCCAGGUCCACAUGAACAACGUGACUGUAACGCUCCACGAUGCCACCAUCCAGGCGUACCUUUCCAACAGCAGCUUCAGCAAAGGAGAGACACGCUGUGAGCAAGACAGGCCUUCCCCAACCACAGCGCCCCCUGCGCCACCCAGCCCCUCGCCCUCACCCGUGCCCGAGAGCCCCUCUGUGGACAAGUACAACGUGAGCGGCACCAAUGGGACCUGCCUGCUGGCCAGCAUGGGGCUGCAGCUGAACCUCACCUACGAGAGGAAGGACAACACGACGGUGACAAGGCUUCUCAAUAUCAACCCCAACAAGACCUCGGCCAGCGGGAGCUGCGGCGCCCACCUGGUGACUCUGGAGCUGCACAGCGAGGGCAUCACCGUCCUGCUCUUCCAGUUCGGGAUGGUGAGGCUGGGGCGGCGCCUCUCUGAGGGCGCCCACUGUGUCUCCACCACGUCUUUUUGUGCCCUGGGUCUGCUCAUGGGAGGCAGCGUUAGGAAGGAGGCUGCCUCACUUUUUUCUGCCUUCCCUUUAUCCUGGGCUUUUUAGUUCCUUGGUUCCCCUCCCCCUUUUCCAUUCCAUUCACAGAUGUGGCAGAUGAUGUGGGUGGGGCUGCCGUGCCACAGUUGGAGUGGCUGCAGGGGAGGGAUGCAGGAGGAGGGUCUGCUGCUGUGAGGCCGCACGGCCUUCUGGCUUCAGAUGCUGCUGCCCUGUGGCUCCGUGGUGGCAUUUCUGCCUGGGAGGACUCCUGUGCAGUUAGCAAUAUAAGACAUGAAGCAUAUAAUUGUCACUUGUCAAUCUUUUUAAAUCGCUGUGCAAAUGAAUUAACAGUUCAGUUUCUUAUAAUUUUAGCUUUCCAAAUCAUGCUUUCCUGUGUCAUGAUAGCUCCUGCAGUCCCCGUUUUCCAGAGACUCUGACUCUCUCAAGAGGUCUGGAAGGACCAGCCUGGGCAGCACAGGGAGGCUCCGUUUCUGCAGAUAAUAAAACGAGUUAGCUGGGCGUAGUGGCGCACACCUGUGGUCCCAGCUACUUGGGAGGCUGAGGUGGGAGGAUCGCUUGAGCCCAGGAGUUGAGGUUGCAAUGAGCCGUGAUCACUCCACUGCACUCCAGCCUGGGUGACAGAGCAAGACUCUCAGAGAAAGGUCUGGAAGGAACUAACUAAAAUUUUUAUUCCCCAGAGAUACACAAUGCCUUUUAUAGACAAGAUAUUUUGCAGUUUUGUUCUAAUACUAGAAAUGUAGGAAGUCAGGUUUAUUACCAAAUGACUGUUCAAGUUUGAUGAUAAAUGUGUGAAUCCACCAAGUGGUUAAAGAUCAUCUUUCUAUGAAUCUGCUCAGUGAUUAAAGAUCAUUUUUCUUUUUAAGAAUGCAAGUUCUAGCCGGUUUUUCCUACAAGGAAUCCAGUUGAAUACAACUCUUCCCGACGCCAGAGGUGAGAACCCACAAUCUCUGCGAGCCCCCGCCCCCCAGGGUACUCUGGAGUCAUUGGACUUCUCUGUGUGUUGCAGACCCUGCCUUUAAAGCUGCCAACGGCUCCCUGAGAGCGCUGCAGGCCGCCGUCGGCAAUUCCUACAAGUGCAACGCCGAGGAGCAUGUCCGCGUCACGAAGGCGUUUUCAGUCAAUAUAUUCAAAGUGUGGGUCCAGGCUUUCAAGGUGGAAGGUGGCCAGUUUGGCUCUGGUGAGUGUCACCGAGGGCAGCUGUCGCGGGGUGUGGAGGAUGUGCUUCAGACUCUGCCUGUGGACAUUUAGUCGCUUCUGUGUGGGCUGGGGCGACGCCCCUGUUCCUCUGCAAGGAGCUGUUUCUUCUUCCCGGUCUGAGAUUCUGGAGGAAACUCCCCCUGCUUUAGAGAGGCCCAGCGUGUCUCUCAGCUGGGAGCCCCUGGUACCAUUUGAGAGUAAGGGAAUCAUUUUAAGAAACAGUGGUGGCGCUUCUCCCAUGAAAGUUGAAUACAACACUGUCAUCUGAUGUGCCCAGAGGCCCUGGACGCAGCACAGCUGUCCGGCCACAGCCCCUGAUUCCAGACGGGAGAAACGUGUGUGGUUUCCUCGCCGUGCAGAGAGCACCAGUCUCUGCAGCGGCUUCCCCAAGUGACAAUUCCAGCUAGACCUGGAACCUUCCACCAGGGUUCCUCUUUGCCUUUUGGCUGAUGUGGGGGAGUGGUGGGGAGAGAGGCCUGUUUGCAGGCCCCUGUGUGAGUGGAGCCCUGACGCCAUCCGUCUGUCUUGGCAGUGGAGGAGUGUCUGCUGGACGAGAACAACAUGCUGAUCCCCAUCGCUGUGGGUGGUGCCCUGGCGGGGCUGGUCCUCAUCGUCCUCAUCGCCUACCUCGUCGGCAGGAAGAGGAGUCAUGCCGGCUACCAGACGAUCUAGCCUGGUGCGCGCAGGCACAGCAGCUGCAGGGGCCUCUGUUCCUUUCCCUGGGCUUAGGGUCCUGUCGAGGGGGAGGCACACUUUCUGGCAAACAUUUCUCAAAUCUGCUUCAUCCAAUGUGAAGUUCAUCUUGCAGCAUUUACUAUGCACAACAGAGUAACUAUUGAAAUGACGGUGUUAAUUUUGCUAACUGGGUUAAAUAUUUUGCUAACUGGUUAAACAUUAAUAUUUACCAAAGUAGAAUUUUGAGGGUGGGGGUGCUGCUCUCUCUGAGGGGGUGGGGGUGCCGCUCUAAAUUGGCUCCACUGUCAUUUGACUUUAGGGUUCUGGUGUUUGGUUUCUUCAUUCUUUACUGCACUCAGAUUUAAGCCUUACAAAGGGAAAGCCUCCGGCCGUCACACGUAGGACGCAUGAAGGUCACUUGUCGUGAGGCUGACAUGCUCACACAUUACAACAGUAGAGAGGGAAAAUCCUAAGACAGAGGAACUCCAGAGAUGAGUGUCUGGAGCGCUUCAGUUCAGCUUUAAAGGCCAGGACAGGCCUGGCCACACGCAGCUGGUGGCCUCGCUCCAGUGGCGGCACGUCCUUGGGCGUCUCUAAUGCUCUGCAGCUCAAGGGCUGGCACUUUUUUAAAUAUAAAAAUGGGUGUUAUUUUUAUUUUUUUUUGUAAAGUGAUUUUUGGUCUUCUGUUGACAUUCGGGGUGAUCCUGUUCUGCGCUGUGUACAAUGUGAGAUAGGUGCGUUCUCCUGAUAUUUCGCCGUGGCUUGGGGAUUGUACACAGGACCAGCUCACGUAAUGCAUUGCCUGUAACAAUGUAAUAAAUAAAAAGCCUCUUUCUUUUUUGU
Molecule: small RNA, 5178 nt
Filed under: Pongo abelii (Sumatran orangutan)
Lineage: Eukaryota; Metazoa; Chordata; Mammalia; Primates; Hominidae
Description: retained intron
Source: RNAcentral